AAAAGGCAAAAUUGCCUAAUGUGAGUGUGAAGGGGAAAAAAAAGAAACAUAAGCAAAUCAAAGAUUCUUUUUAAAAUCGAACAUUUAUACAAACGAACAUUUAUUUAUACGUAACGUAUUCCUGUGUAAAUAAAUAAACAAAUUCAUAUAUGUACGUAUGUGUAUGCGCUGCUAAGUAGUUUUAGUUUCAUGACUUGUUACGGAAAUGAAAUGUCUUUACGAAGUGUGUGCAAAUACACACACACACACACAAACACACACACACAUACACAGCGAUUAAUUCAACGUGUAUUUUGUUAUAUGCUAUAAAAUCGUAUUUACUACUACUUUGUAAAAGUGUGUUUUGCUUAUGUAUGUAUAAACUUAUAAAAGAAAAAGCAAAAAAAAAAUUUUAAAAAAAUUGUACAGUUAUGAUGGCAUUAGCUGUCGUUGCAAUUGUUCAACACGCGCUCAACACUUGCAUUUGGAUUGAAGAUGGAUUUUGUAAAUUCUUUUCAUGAUUUCUUGUUUACUUAUAAUUGGCACGUAUUGCCGUAACUGCUGCACGGUUACCAGGACAAUUUCAUGUGCAUAACAGUCUUAAAAUAUAAUCGAGUCGUUUUAUAAUUUUAAUUAAAUAUUUAUUUACUUGCGAGAUGAAAUGGUUCAGCGAACGCAUCGUUUUUGUUGAGAGCCCCCCUUUUUCUUUUCUGCUUUGAUUUGGCAUUGAAGCCUGAAUAACAUUGAAACCACAAAAAUAACAAAUAAAAAAAAAAAAUAAAUAAAUAAAUAACAAAAAAAAAAAAAAAAAAUACACAUCUUUAUGCUCUCGCUAGUACAGCUUUGCUGUACAAGCAAGCACUUAUCAUAAAAGUGUGUUCGAUAUACGAAAAACAAAAAAAAAAAGAAAAGAAAACAAAAGCUCUAAAGUGCCGCUGUUCUAUUUCAUCUUUAGUUUUCAUUACUGCUAUAUGUAGACGUUAUACGUAUGAUAUAUGCUCGUAAGUGUUAUUCAAAAA
Molecule: long non-coding RNA, 998 nt
Organism: Glossina fuscipes
Lineage: Eukaryota; Metazoa; Arthropoda; Insecta; Diptera; Glossinidae
Exons: 2
Source: RefSeq, a predicted model, not a curated record